This 1586-nucleotide long non-coding RNA is filed under the name Triticum aestivum (bread wheat). Its description in RNAcentral is "long non-coding RNA (TAES_LNC027907)". The record is from RNAcentral. Lineage: Eukaryota; Viridiplantae; Streptophyta; Magnoliopsida; Poales; Poaceae.
GUAAAUCUUUGAACUCAACCAUUUCAAUCUUUAGUAGAGUAGUACACAUGUGUUGCAUGAGUGCAGAUGUGGUGGUGCGGUGUUGCACUCGGUGUUACACAAACAGCCAGAACAAUUAACAGUGAUAGAUAGUGCUGUUUAAUUUCCAGCAAAUUCACCAUGCUAUUUAAUUCCCAUGCCAGGAGGAUCUGCAGCAGGGGCGGCGCUAGGGGUAUUCUUGAUCUGCAUGUGAAUACCCAUGAUUUUCAACACAGUGUUGAUUUGGCAAAAGAGUGACAAUUUUCGAAAAAUAGCAAUGAUUUUGGUAAAAUGAAUACACAUAAAUACCCCGUGCAAAUUCCUGGAGCCGUCACUGAUCUGCAGGGCUGCAAAUUCCUGGAGCCGCCACUGAUCUGCAGGGCAUGAGACUUCAUCAUUAACCUUAAGUGGGUGUAGGUUUUUCUUUGCAAAUACUUAAGGGUUUAGUUGUUGCCACGUGGACACUGGCCACUCUUUCUAUUUUCACACGUUUUUUUCCUGACAACCUUCCUAUUUUCACAUUCAGUUACACUGCCCUUGAUUUUUUUGCAGGCGGUCAGUUACACUACCCUACAAAUGUGAGUAAUUAGUUAUGCUACCCUACAAAAGUGGGUAAUCAGUUACCCUACCCUAAAAAGUGAGAUGUUUAACCUCGAAGCAAGAGAGAAAUCCAUGUGCUACCGCAAGUAUAUAAUAAGCCGCCUCCCUCCUCUAUACCCAUCUUUCAUACAAUCCAUCUUGAAGGUCUUAAACUGUCAUACAAUCCUCUGAGUCUUUCAUAAGAAAUCUAUGGAUCUGUCCAUGUAGGUUGUUGUGGUCGUUCUCCUGCUUCUUGUGACCACAUGCAUCUAUAGAGGAGGGAUUUAACGAUGCAGGGUUACUUACCGGUGGGGUGGGAUAUAGAGUGUGAGUUGUCGUACCACCAGUCCAACGUAAUUCCUCAACUCAACAUCCUCAAGAAUCAAUCAAGUAUUCCUCAACUCGGCAACCUCAAGUAUCAAUUGCGACCCCCUUUCUUCAAACUAUCUUGCAUACACCAGCUCAUCAAAUGCAUCAACCAUCCUCAAUUUGAAAACUAGAAAUAAGAGGAGGUCUAAAGGUUGGGGAGGAAGUGGACUGAGGAGCGAUUGGAUUGCAACACAAAUGGAACAUUGAGGUCAAGGAUGAGAGUCUCUAGGGCAUGGAGAGGCAACAUGGGAGGAAAACAUGCCAAUGGGGCAGAGAGGGUUCUUUUGUAAAGAGGCGUGAGUGUGCAAUAGUUCACGGGGGCUUCAUGAGGGAUUCCGUCUGAUGGCUGCAGAUACAUAACACACAGAUUCAAUGGACGAUUGCGUUAAAUUGUCUAAUUAGCACGGGGAUUUUGGCUGAGAAUCAUACAGGCUGUUGAACAUGUCUACAUGUACGUAGGUCCGGGUCCUAUAUGCAGUACCUGUAGUAUCUGUCUCACUCUGUAUGUACGUAUAUCUUAGGAGACAAGAUACCGGUUGCACCCCUUGUACCUAUAUAUAUGUGCCUAGUGCACGAUCAAUCAAUUAUCGAUGCACCAAAUCAUUCUCUACAUGGUAUCU